UAGCAACCUCUGGUUACGCAAAGGAAAAUAAUGAGUAUAACAACAAACCGAAAAUUUUACCAAAGAAGCAAUGAAUUUGAUUGACCUUAUCGAAAACAAGCAAAUAAUCAUGUACCUGGUGCAGCACGACGUAACCAAUCUGUUAGGUCCGAUGCAUGUUAUCGUCCAAACUGUCGAUAAUCAAAAGUUCCCUGUAACAAGCAGUGAAAUGGCUGAAUAUGGUCAAAGGAUCUGAAAACGGUGAAGUGACCGAGCAAUCAUUUGUGCAAAAUCGACCAGCUACAGAAAGCUUUACUGAAGUGAAUCUAUAAGGGUCGAUUUCUUCACGCUCGCUUAACGCUUAAGCCUGGUUUAAACACACUGGUAAACCUACUUUAAACGUUAAGCGAGAGUGAAGAAAUCGGCCCUAAGUGAAAUAUCAUGCGACGAUAGCUGGGGAAUGGCGAUGUGCUCAAGUUACCCGCUGCUUCGUGAAUUGGAUAAAACAAACUGGCAAUCAAGAUACAAAAUCA
Molecule: long non-coding RNA, 512 nt
Organism: Topomyia yanbarensis
Lineage: Eukaryota; Metazoa; Arthropoda; Insecta; Diptera; Culicidae
Exons: 3
Source: RefSeq, a predicted model, not a curated record